GACGAACGCUGGCGGCGUGCUUAACACAUGCAAGUCGAACGGAAAGGCCCUGCUUUUGUGGGGUGCUCGAGUGGCGAACGGGUGAGUAACACGUGAGUAACCUGCCCUUGACUUUGGGAUAACUUCAGGAAACUGGGGCUAAUACCGGAUAGGAGCUCCUGCUGCAUGGUGGGGGUUGGAAAGUUUCGGCGGUUGGGGAUGGACUCGCGGCUUAUCAGCUUGUUGGUGGGGUAGUGGCUUACCAAGGCUUUGACGGGUAGCCGGCCUGAGAGGGUGACCGGCCACAUUGGGACUGAGAUACGGCCCGGACUCCUACGGGAGGCAGAAGUGGGGAAUAUUGCACAAUGGGCGGAAGCCUGAUGCAGCAACGCCGCGUGCGGGAUGACGGCCUUCGUGUUGUAAACCGCUUUCGCCUGUGACGAAGCGUGAGUGACGGUAAUGUGUAAAGAAGCACCGGCUAACUACGUG
This 468-nucleotide ribosomal RNA is filed under the name uncultured bacterium. RNAcentral's name for it is "partial 16S ribosomal RNA". It matches the Rfam family "Bacterial small subunit ribosomal RNA", at positions 28 to 507 of the family's 1533-position model. The record is from RNAcentral.